Molecule: non-coding RNA, 119 nt
Filed under: Pseudomonas extremaustralis
Lineage: Bacteria; Pseudomonadati; Pseudomonadota; Gammaproteobacteria; Pseudomonadales; Pseudomonadaceae
Source: RNAcentral
GGAGGUCGGCCCUCCGGUCAGGGCGUACAGGCGCACUGACCAAACGACCCGAUGCUGCGAGCAUGUUCAGCAUGCUGGUGGUGAGCGAUUCGGGUAAAGGCAGAGAAACUACUGUCACG